RNAcentral lists this ribosomal RNA (361 nucleotides) under uncultured bacterium. Its description in RNAcentral is "partial 16S ribosomal RNA". It matches the Rfam family "Bacterial small subunit ribosomal RNA", at positions 338 to 696 of the family's 1533-position model. The record is from RNAcentral.
CCUACGGGAGACAGCAGUGAGGAAUAUUGGUCAAUGGCCGGAAGGCUGAACCAGCCAUGCCGCGUGAAGGUCAGUGCCCUAUGGGCGUUAAACUUCUUUUGUGCGGGAGCAAUAAUGGUUACGUGUGGCCAGACGAGAGUACCGUACGAAUACGCAACAGCUAAAUCUGGGUCAGCAGCCGCGGGAACACGGGGGAUGCAAGCGCUGUCCGAGUUUGUUGGGUUUAAAGGGGGCGCAGGCUGUGAGGUAAGUUUGCGGUGAAAUGCCCCCGCUCAACGGGGUGAGGUGCCAGUGAUACUGCGUUGCUGGAGUGCGGAUGCGGUGGGAGGAAUGUGUGGUGUAGCGGUGAAAUGCAUAGAUA